RNAcentral lists this non-coding RNA (29 nucleotides) under Mus musculus (house mouse). The record is from RNAcentral. Lineage: Eukaryota; Metazoa; Chordata; Mammalia; Rodentia; Muridae.
UGAAACGAGACUUAAGAGGCUUCAGGGAG